RNAcentral lists this ribosomal RNA (496 nucleotides) under uncultured bacterium. RNAcentral's name for it is "partial 16S ribosomal RNA". It matches the Rfam family "Bacterial small subunit ribosomal RNA", at positions 28 to 506 of the family's 1533-position model. The record is from RNAcentral.
GAUGAACGCUGGCGGCGUGCCUAAUACAUGCGAGUCGAGCGAACGGACGAGAAGCUUGCUUCUCUGAUGUUAGCGGCGGACGGGUGAGUAACACGUGGAUAACCUACCUAUAAGACUGGGAUAACUUCGGGAAACCGGAGCUAAUACCGGAUAAUAUUUUGAACCGCAUGGUUCAAAAGUGAAAGACGGUCUUGCUGUCACUUAUAGAUGGAUCCGCGCUGCAUUAGCUAGUUGGUAAGGUAACGGCUUACCAAGGCAACGAUGCAUAGCCGACCUGAGAGGGUGAUCGGCCACACUGGAAAUGAGACACGGUCCAGACUCCUACGGGAGGCAGCAGUAGGGAAUCUUCCGCAAGGGGCGAAAGCCUGACGGAGCAACGCCGCGUGAGUGAUGAAGGUCUUCGGAUCGUAAAACUCUGUUAUUAGGGAAGAACAGAUGUGUAAGUAACUGUGCACAUCUUGACGGUACCUAAUCAGAAAGCCACGGCUAACUACGU